GUGGGGAAUCUUAGACAAUGGGGGAAACCCUGAUCUAGCCAUGCCGCGUGAGCGAUGAAGGCCUUAGGGUUGUAAAGCUCUUUCGGCUGGGAAGAUAAUGACGGUACCAGCAGAAGAAGCCCCGGCUAACUCCAUGCCAGCAGCCGCGGUAAUACGGAGGGGGCUAGCGUUGUUCGGAAUUACUGGGCGUAAAGCGCACGUAGGCGGAUCAGAAAGUCAGAGGUGAAAUCCCAGGGCUCAACCUUGGAACUGCCUUUGAAACUCCUGGUCUUGAGGUCGAGAGAGGUGAGUGGAAUUCCGAGUGUAGAGGUGAAAUUCGUAGAUAUUCGGAGGAACACCAGUGGCGAAGGCGGCUCACUGGCUCGAUACUGACGCUGAGGUGCGAAAGCGUGGGGAGCAAACAGGAUUAGAUACCCGAGUAGUCC
RNAcentral lists this ribosomal RNA (425 nucleotides) under uncultured bacterium. RNAcentral's name for it is "bacterial SSU rRNA". It matches the Rfam family "Bacterial small subunit ribosomal RNA", at positions 354 to 796 of the family's 1533-position model. The record is from RNAcentral.